UACGGAAGGGGCAAGCGUUGUUCGGAAUCAUUGGGCGUAAAGGGCGCGCAGGCGGCUCUGUAUGUCUGCCGUGAAAGCAUACAGCUCAACUGUAUUGUGUCGGUAGAAACUGCAGGACUUGAGGCUGGGAGGGGCUGGUGGAAUUCCCUGUGUAGCGGUGAAAUGCGUAGGGAUGGGGGAGAACACUCGUGGCGAAGGCGGCCAGCUAGACCAGUUCUGACACUGAGGCGCGACAGCGUGGGGAGCAAACAGG
Molecule: ribosomal RNA, 253 nt
Filed under: uncultured bacterium
Lineage: Bacteria
Description: partial 16S ribosomal RNA
Rfam family: Bacterial small subunit ribosomal RNA
Source: RNAcentral